Metopolophium dirhodum (rose-grain aphid) is the source of this 4577-nucleotide long non-coding RNA. RefSeq lists it as uncharacterized. NCBI's taxonomy places the organism in Eukaryota, Metazoa, Arthropoda, Insecta, Hemiptera, Aphididae. The transcript is spliced from 2 exons. The record is from RefSeq and is a predicted model, not a curated record.
UGCGGUUGAACAACUAGACGGGCGGUUAUCAGCUGCAGCCGAGCGCGGUAUUGAUAGCGAUAACCGUUUGGUGAUUCUAAAUUAUUAAAUAGUAAAUAGUAAAUACAAAUUUACAAGUAUACGACUGUGGUCUGCGAGUAAGCGAGUAGCGUGACAAAUUUAAUUUAAUUUAAUUUGUUAGUGGGUGUAUUAGUGGAUGACUUCUCACAUCAAGUGUAGCCUGUUAAUUUUAUUCUCUAACCACAUAAACCUAUUGUGCCCCUAAGGGCCCGUAUUAAAUAGUUAAAGCAUAGUAGUGUCUACGGUAGCAGCCUGGGCUGCCCCUGCAAUUUUUGAAAUGUGCCGAUCAACCGAGUUUUAAGUCAAAAAAGUUACAACAUUUAUUUUUUUUUUAAAACUUGAUUUUUUUGUGGGUAUUGUUAUAAUUACUAUUUACUUAUAAAGAUUGAUUUCCUGACUUCCGAAAUCGGAAAAACCUAUCUACGGUACUCAUCUAGGUAUUAUUGAUAUUAUUGUUGUAUUAUUUUUGAUUUGUAGCUAGGUAUUGUAAUCCAAUGCUGUAGAUGAAUAAUAUUUCUGAAGUUACUGUAGAUUAUUAUUGUAAAUAGAUAAUUUAGACUUUUUUUAAAUUAUAUAAAUAUUUCAUUGUGGAGGGGGGGCUUAAAAAAAUAUGGCUUUGGGUGUAUAGGGCUUUUUUCAGUUCACUUAUAAGGUAGCGCCGGUUAUUAGCUAGGCUGCCCCUGCCAAUGAAGACAGGCACGUUAAAGUAAGGUUGAACCAUGGAAUUUGGCCGAUAAAAUCAGUGGGUUGAGCGUAGCCGAGGUUUAAACUAUGAUUGUAAAACGGGCCCCAAGAAAUAGAUUGUUUAUUAAUUCAAAUAAAAAAAAUGUAAUUGGUCAAUUAGUGUGUGAUAAAAAUUAAUUAGCGUUUAGCAAUAAUUUAUUUGCGAAACUGCAAACGUUGUAACUCGUUCAUAUUUUUUUGAUUAAUUAAUUUACAGUAUGUAUUUGGUAGUUUCAUAUUGGUACGGAUAUUGUAUGAAUCCGAUUGCCUGCAGUCGACGUUGGUUAAAAAUAUAUAAGCCAAUAUAUCUGAUACCAGGACUGUCAACCGCAACAUAAUUUCUCUCUUGUUUUAAUGUGUCAGAGUCUGGAACUGCAGCGCCAGACGCCAGUACACCACGACAUUCAACCGAUGAAAUUCCAACUAUACUGUAUGUCUCACUAAUAUAAUAAUAUAUGUACUUAGUUAUAUUUCAAAAGAUGGACUGCUUACUGUGGGCUCCCCAACAGGGGCAAUGCAUAUCUACAAACAUUAGCCAUUAGUCAUUACUCUUCUAAGGUGGUUACUACAAUGGUAGAACACUCGAUGACUUGGUCUGUACAGUUGUAGUGUGGUUGAAUUCCUGAUCACAUGAUGAAGUAACUUGAUUAUGGUUCAUCAAUAACAACUUAACGUGGUAACACAGAAGACAUUGUUCAACAUUCAACUUCAUUUAUUGUCAUCAUUGCUACCAUAGUGCCACCUGUCAUCGCUAUUGCUGUUGCUGCUGCUGCUAACAAACAUACACCCAAAGGUUAUUUCUAGUUGUUCUUUCCAAUGAUAUAGGUAGAUGUUAUAUAAAAAUAAUAAUGAACAGUGUUGGGUAGUAACAUAGCUACUUAAGUUACUUGUGACAAUGUGUAACUAUAUUACAUAGUUACUUUUUAAAAUUAUCUCGCUAUUAAUCGCGCCAUGGUUAAAACAACAAAACCAUUUUUACAUCUUUAAUAAAGCAUAUACAUUUUACAUUUUAAUCAUUGAUACUUAAUAUACUUUUUAAAAAAUAUUAUUAUAAUAAUAUUCUAAAUAAAUUGAAUUACUUAUAAUAUAUACCUAAAUUAAACCAAGGCUGAGCAUUAACGAGUUAAAAAUUUAAUUGUAUUUUAAUUUUUUAACUUAACUAGUUACUUUUGAAUUUUCAUUAACUUAACUAUUAACUUACUACAUUUCUUUUUAAACUAAAGAAUUCAUUUUUCAUUUUAAGAAGUAAGUUAAGUUAAUUUAUUUUGUUUUAAUUUUAUUUUAUUUCACUAUUACAGUCUAUUUUGUUUUCAUGUCAAAAAAUAUUUGCCAUGAAUUGUUUAAAAUUUAAAAUUUAUAUCAUUUGAGAUACUUAUAUGGAAAUACUGUAUAGUGUAUAGUGUAUACAUUAUAAACACUAUAUGGUCUAUUCAAAAUAAGAAACACAGUCGGUGGCCGACUACUUCACAUGGGCGUGGUUUCAUUGACCCGUGGAUACUAGACCAACUUGAUUCAGUAAAAAUACACGCUGCGUCUGACUGCCGCUGACAAAAACUGGUUGCCGUCGACUGUGUUUCUUAUUUUGAAUAGAUUAUAAUCUAUAAUUUAGUUUUAAGUUGCAAAAAAAUUAAGUACGCUAGCGUUGUAUAAAUAAAUGAACUUUUUUUUAACUUAAUAAAAAGUUGACAAAAAGUAUAUAUUAACUUUUAACUCAACUGAGUUAAAAAAAAAAUCAUUUACUUGCCCAGCCUUGGAUUAAACCAUUGAUUAUGAAUAAUAUUAAUUAUUAAUUAUAAUAAUAAUAUUCAUAAUCAAUGAUUAAAAUAAGAUAGAAGUGAGAUAUUAUUCAUAACAGGUAUACCUUUAAAUUUAAAUAAAACUCGUACAUUCCUAUUUUUUUAAAUAUCCAUUUUAUGUAUAAGGAUAAAGGGAGUAACUUUUUGUAAGAGUUUUAAUUUUUUGUCAUUGUAUGAAAUAUUAAUUUAUUUUAAUAAAAUUAAUAAAAAUGUAUGAAAUCACGGUUUUUAUUCUUAAAAAUUAUAAUGUGGGAAAAAAGACCAUGGUGCGAUUAAUGAUGUAAUAUAUAUUGUCAUGACUAACGUCGGGUUAAGUAUUGUAAUAACUAAUAAGUAUAAGAUGUAAAGAUUUAUUUUUUUAUUUUUUGUAACUUUUUAUAAAUUGUUUAUAAUAUUUUUAUUAUAUCAUUACUAAUUAAUGUGCGCAUUACAAUUUUAUUUACAUUGUAUUGAUAAUUGAUAGUAUAAUAUGAAUGUACUACCCGGGUAUAAGGAAAAAUUCAUCUUUAACUUGUGAUACAAUCCAUAUUAAAUUGAAGAAUUUGUUUAUUAGUGCUAAAUAUUUUUUAUUUUAAUAUGUGUACUCUCUCAAAUAAUUCUUAGGACCAGUUGUACCGUCUAUGGUUAAACUUCGAUUACGCUUAAUCAGCUGAUAACAGAUAUUUAACCAAGCAAAUUCGGCCAGUUAAACUCCGGUUAACUUUAAUCAGAUAUGGUACAACAGGCCCAUAAUAAGCUUUUUAAUGAUUAUAUAAUAUUUAUAUUUGAAUGAUUUAUCACAAAAAUUUAUAUUAUGAAAAUUAUCUUAUAUGAAACAUCAAUUAACUAUAAAAUUCUCCGAUUUUUAUGAUCUACAUGUCUAAAAACAUUUUAAAUUACAGAAAGUAAAUACAGAAUAUUCAGUUUAUCUUAUUUAUUAUUUUAUUUUUAACUUUAUUUUAAAUAGUGAAAGUAAUAUUAUUGUAACUAGUUGCUUUUGGGUAAAUAAAAUUAAUGUUAAAUAUUAUAUUUUGUAUUCAAGUAACAAAUUAAUUCUAGUUAUUUUUUAAAAGAAGCUAACUCAUAUCAAACCCUAAAUUUCUAUAUUUAGUUAUAAAGUUAUAAUUUAGAAAUACCAUAAUUAACUGUAAUUGAAUCAUAGAUUAUCGUUAUAUAAUAUGUACAAGUGCAAGUUAUAACCAGAAAUAGUAUUGUUAAGCACAUGAAAUUGGAAAUGUAUAUAUGUUCCAUACAUAUUUGUUCAAUAAUUAUUAAUAAUUUGUAUUAAGUUUAAUUAAAGUUCCCUUGUAAUACCAUUUACUAUGUAAUCAAAAAUGUUGUCAUGAGAGUUAAACAAUUUGUAUCUACAUUGUACAUAUGAACGUAUUAUCAUUGAUUAUAAAUACUAGUAUUUAUAAUCAAUGAUAUUAUACUUGUUCAUAUAUUCAAAUAGUGAAUUUUUUUUUUCAACUAAAAAGUGGAUAGUUUCUUUCAAAAACUAUUAAAACAUUUUUCAAUUCAGUACAUUUCACAUUGUGCUUAAAAAUUUAAUAUACUGAUCCCAUUUAAAUACUGUUUACUUUCUUAAAUUUUUAAUUAAAUUAGGGCUUCAAAACGUUAUGUAUAAUCUAAUAUCAUUAAUCAUUAAUCAUAAUCAAUGAUUAAAAAUAAACAAUAAAAGUAACAUAAAAAAAUUGCAAAUUACGUUAUUUGAAAUAACGUCAGUGCUUUUUUUUAUGUUGAACUUAACAUUACUAUUGUUUUUAAAUCUUGUAGUCUAUAAAAGUAUGAAUUUUAUAAGUUAUAACUAUGAAAAAUUCAAAUUUGGCAAUCUUAUGUUGAAAGUAAUUUAUAUUUUUGAAAUACUUUAUCCCUGUUUGAUUUAUAAAUAAUGAAUUUAAUAGAAUAUUAGUUUAUUUCUGUAAUUAAAAUUGUAAUAAGAUACAAAACUGCAAGCUCGUAGUUUGGUGUACCUACCCACCUACUAAAUACUUAAAUAAAAUUAACAUUAUUAUGCCA